This 62-nucleotide microRNA precursor is filed under the name Xenopus laevis (African clawed frog). RNAcentral describes it as "Xla-Mir-430-o5o1_pre stem-loop". The record is from RNAcentral. Lineage: Eukaryota; Metazoa; Chordata; Amphibia; Anura; Pipidae.
ACCCAAAACUAGGCCCUCUCUUGUGUUUCAAUUAUUAAGAAAGUGCUUUUUGUUUUGGGCAU